UCAUGAAAUCUAAAGAAAGCAGAAAGGAUAUAGAAAUUUUCAGUUGUGAGGUCCAAAGCUUACAAAAUGCUGACAUCGCCCAAAUAAAGAUCAGCUAUGGAGAAGCAACAAUUAAUCUGCGAAUUUUGUCGACAUUACAUAAAUUCCUUCUGAUUCUGCGGCUGUUGCUAAUACCCUGCGUUAUUGCUGCGCUGGUGGCUAUAUGUCUUUGGAAAAAAGUGACUUGCCGCUGAGGCAAUCCAACUUUAAUCCUUAUGCUUUCUGCAAGUAAAAUGUCAGUGGCAUUUUCAGCUAUUUUUGAACAGCUUUGUGUUUGAAUGCUUUGUGCACAAUGACAUUUCUAUAGUUCUGUAAAUGCCAGUAUGAAACUUAUUACCUACCAGAAUAUAAUUUUUUAUUUGUAUUUCUUUAAAUUUGAAAUUUCUAUGCUUUCAAUUCAGCAAACCGAGAAAUUUGUUUUGUACCUUUGCAAAACCUUUACACCAUUUAUUGUAACUUUUUAUUUGUACAUUUAUAACUGUACCAGAAAAAACGUGCAUCUGUCCAAAUGAGCUUACUGUUUAAUAUUUUUUAACAUUGACCUUAAAGAAU
Fundulus heteroclitus (mummichog) is the source of this 591-nucleotide long non-coding RNA. RefSeq lists it as uncharacterized. NCBI's taxonomy places the organism in Eukaryota, Metazoa, Chordata, Actinopteri, Cyprinodontiformes, Fundulidae. The transcript has 3 exons. The record is from RefSeq and is a predicted model, not a curated record.